RNAcentral lists this ribosomal RNA (433 nucleotides) under uncultured bacterium. Its description in RNAcentral is "partial 16S ribosomal RNA". It matches the Rfam family "Bacterial small subunit ribosomal RNA", at positions 29 to 507 of the family's 1533-position model. The record is from RNAcentral.
AGCGAACGCUGGCGGCAGGCUUAACACAUGCAAGUCGAGCGGGCCCUUCGGGGUCAGCGGCGGACGGGUGAGUAACGCGUGGGAACGUGCCUUCUGGUCUGGAAUAACCCUGGGAAACUAGGGCUAAUACCGGAUACGCCCUUUUGGGGAAAGGUUUACUGCCGGAAGAUCGGCCCGCGUCUGAUUAGCUAGUUGGUGGGGUAACGGCCUACCAAGGCGACGAUCAGUAGCUGGUCUGAGAGGAUGAUCAGCCACACUGGGACUGAGACACGGCCCAGACUCCUACGGGAAGCAGCAGUGGGGAAUAUUGGACCAUGGGCGCAAGCCUGAUCCAGCCAUGCCGCGUGAGUGAUGAAGGCCUUAGGGUUGUAAAGCUCUUUUAACCGGGACGAUAAUGACGGUACCGGAGGAAUAAGCCACGGCUAACUUCGUG